GUUCAAAUAGCUCAGUUGCUAGGGCAUGAGACUUAAUCUCAGGGCUGUGGGUUUGAGUCCCAGGUUGGGCA
Molecule: non-coding RNA, 71 nt
Organism: Podarcis lilfordi (Lilford's wall lizard)
Lineage: Eukaryota; Metazoa; Chordata; Lepidosauria; Squamata; Lacertidae
Source: the annotation of a GenBank genome assembly